Molecule: unclassified non-coding RNA, 196 nt
Filed under: uncultured fungus
Lineage: Eukaryota; Fungi
Description: sequence contains ITS1, 5.8S rRNA gene
Source: RNAcentral
ACGAGUAACUGAACAGGUUGUAGCUGGUCCUCCGGGGCAUGUGCACGCCUGGCUCAUCCACUCUUCAACCUCUGUGCACUUACUGUAGGUCGGUGGAAAGGCAAGUCCUUUUAGUGAUUUGCUUGGAAGCCUUCCUAUGUUUUAUUACAAACGCUUCAGUUUAAGAAUGUAUCUCUGCGUAUAACGCAUCUAUAUA